CAAUGCGGAACACCAACAAAUAUGCAAAAAUGCAUGUAUUUCCUGCAGAAAAUGACGUAAUAUGUAAAAUGAUUAGUAAAAUAACUGGAGCCCGGGCUGAGCACUGAUGCUUAAUAACUGAGGCAUUUAACAGUAUCAAUGCUAGGAAUUUUAAGGUUAUAAAUACAAGACACCCGUCUUACUAAAUCCCUUUCUGGAAGCUUUCUUGGACUCUACACUAGUAGAGACACAAGGAAUGUUUGAAUCGUCUCAUAAUGCAUGCGUGAAUGAUAUGGACAGGCAAACAGUAGAGCAACAAGGAAUGCUGAAGCCAAAAGAAAGGCAAAACUGAAGAAGGAAAACCGUUCCUGAAAGAUUUGUUAUUUAAAAUUUUUUAUACUACAAUUUAUGUUCGUAGCAAAUGAUUCUAGAUUUAUUUUUUUUUAGCAGAGGUUCUUAACUCAAGAUAUAAGCCGUGCAGAGACCAGUUAUGAAAAUAACAAAAUUUAUACAAUAUAACAAAUGUGUUGAGAAAAGAAAUCAGAAGGAUAAAUAUACAAAAAAAACAUUGAGGCAGAAGUUACAAGAAAGUCUCAAAUGUGCUGAAAAUUUUGCUUAUCUCCCAGCAACAUUAAAUAAGAGUGCUCCUAAUUUUAUAUUAAGUCAACUAAGAGAACAUACGAAAAAGCCAAAAGGUUGAAAAUUUACACUUAAUGAUAAAAUUCUUGCUUUAACUCUGCAUAAAAUU
Long non-coding RNA from Ctenocephalides felis (cat flea), 727 nucleotides. RefSeq lists it as uncharacterized. Lineage: Eukaryota; Metazoa; Arthropoda; Insecta; Siphonaptera; Pulicidae. The transcript has 4 exons. The record is from RefSeq and is a predicted model, not a curated record.